This 1512-nucleotide ribosomal RNA is filed under the name Lactiplantibacillus pentosus. RNAcentral describes it as "bacterial SSU rRNA". It matches the Rfam family "Bacterial small subunit ribosomal RNA". Lineage: Bacteria; Bacillati; Bacillota; Bacilli; Lactobacillales; Lactobacillaceae. The record is from RNAcentral.
GACGAACGCUGGCGGCGUGCCUAAUACAUGCAAGUCGAACGAACUCUGGUAUUGAUUGGUGCUUGCAUCAUGAUUUACAUUUGAGUGAGUGGCGAACUGGUGAGUAACACGUGGGAAACCUGCCCAGAAGCGGGGGAUAACACCUGGAAACAGAUGCUAAUACCGCAUAACAACUUGGACCGCAUGGUCCGAGUUUGAAAGAUGGCUUCAGCUAUCACUUUUGGAUGGUCCCGCGGCGUAUUAGCUAGAUGGUGGGGUAACGGCUCACCAUGGCAAUGAUACGUAGCCGACCUGAGAGGGUAAUCGGCCACAUUGGGACUGAGACACGGCCCAAACUCCUACGGGAGGCAGCAGUAGGGAAUCUUCCACAAUAGACGAAAGUCUGAUGGAGCAACGCCGCGUGAGUGAAGAAGGGUUUCGGCUCGUAAAACUCUGUUGUUAAAGAAGAACAUAUCUGAGAGUAACUGUUCAGGUAUUGACGGUAUUUAACCAGAAAGCCACGGCUAACUACGUGCCAGCAGCCGCGGUAAUACGUAGGUGGCAAGCGUUGUCCGGAUUUAUUGGGCGUAAAGCGAGCGCAGGCGGUUUUUUAAGUCUGAUGUGAAAGCCUUCGGCUCAACCGAAGAAGUGCAUCGGAAACUGGGAAACUUGAGUGCAGAAGAGGACAGUGGAACUCCAUGUGUAGCGGUGAAAUGCGUAGAUAUAUGGAAGAACACCAGUGGCGAAGGCGGCUGUCUGGUCUGUAACUGACGCUGAGGCUCGAAAGUAUGGGUAGCAAACAGGAUUAGAUACCCUGGUAGUCCAUACCGUAAACGAUGAAUGCUAAGUGUUGGAGGGUUUCCGCCCUUCAGUGCUGCAGCUAACGCAUUAAGCAUUCCGCCUGGGGAGUACGGCCGCAAGGCUGAAACUCAAAGGAAUUGACGGGGGCCCGCACAAGCGGUGGAGCAUGUGGUUUAAUUCGAAGCUACGCGAAGAACCUUACCAGGUCUUGACAUACUAUGCAAAUCUAAGAGAUUAGACGUUCCCUUCGGGGACAUGGAUACAGGUGGUGCAUGGUUGUCGUCAGCUCGUGUCGUGAGAUGUUGGGUUAAGUCCCGCAACGAGCGCAACCCUUAUUAUCAGUUGCCAGCAUUAAGUUGGGCACUCUGGUGAGACUGCCGGUGACAAACCGGAGGAAGGUGGGGAUGACGUCAAAUCAUCAUGCCCCUUAUGACCUGGGCUACACACGUGCUACAAUGGAUGGUACAACGAGUUGCGAACUCGCGAGAGUAAGCUAAUCUCUUAAAGCCAUUCUCAGUUCGGAUUGUAGGCUGCAACUCGCCUACAUGAAGUCGGAAUCGCUAGUAAUCGCGGAUCAGCAUGCCGCGGUGAAUACGUUCCCGGGCCUUGUACACACCGCCCGUCACACCAUGAGAGUUUGUAACACCCAAAGUCGGUGGGGUAACCUUUUAGGAACCAGCCGCCUAAGGUGGGACAGAUGAUUAGGGUGAAGUCGUAACAAGGUAGCCGUAG